Molecule: long non-coding RNA, 116 nt
Organism: Cyanistes caeruleus (blue tit)
Lineage: Eukaryota; Metazoa; Chordata; Aves; Passeriformes; Paridae
Source: RefSeq, a predicted model, not a curated record
CUCUGAUCAUCUCCCUGCCUCAUCUGGACUCGCUCCAGCAGCUCCAUAUCCUUCCUGUGCUGAGGACUCCAGACCCAGGCACAUCUCCAGGGCUGGAAAGCAAGAGGUUUUGUGAA